This 650-nucleotide ribosomal RNA is filed under the name uncultured Bacteroidales bacterium. Its description in RNAcentral is "bacterial SSU rRNA". It matches the Rfam family "Bacterial small subunit ribosomal RNA", at positions 70 to 715 of the family's 1533-position model. The record is from RNAcentral. Lineage: Bacteria; Pseudomonadati; Bacteroidota; Bacteroidia; Bacteroidales.
AUAAAAGUAGCAAAUACUUUGGUGGCGACCGGCGCACGGGUGAGUAACGCGUAUGCAACCCAUCUAUCAGAGGGGAAUAACCCGGCGAAAGUCGGACUAAUACCGCAUAAAACAGGGACACCGCAUGGUGAUAUUUGUUAAAGAAAUUCGCUGAUAGAUGGGCAUGCGUUCCAUUAGGUAGUUGGUGAGGUAACGGCUCACCAAGCCGACGAUGGAUAGGGGAACUGAGAGGUUGGUCCCCCACACUGGUACUGAGACACGGACCAGACUCCUACGGGAGGCAGCAGUGAGGAAUAUUGGUCAAUGGGCGAGAGCCUGAACCAGCCAAGUCGCGUGAAGGAAGAAGGAUCUAUGGUUCGUAAACUUCUUUUGCAGGGGAAUAAAGUGCAGGACGUGUCCUGUUUUGUAUGUACCCUGAGAAUAAGGAUCGGCUAACUCCGUGCCAGCAGCCGCGGUAAUACGGAGGAUCCGAGCGUUAUCCGGAUUUAUUGGGUUUAAAGGGUGCGUAGGUGGUUUGAUAAGUCAGCGGUGAAAGUUUGCAGCUUAACUGUAAAAAUGCCGUUGAAACUGUCGGACUUGAGUGUAAAUGAGGUAGGCGGAAUGCGUGGUGUAGCGGUGAAAUGCUUAGAUAUCACGAAGAACUCCGAUUG